CGGGACACGUGGUAUCCUGUCUGAAUAUGGGGGGACCAUCCUCCAAGGCUAAAUACUCCUGACUGACCGAUAGUGAACCAGUACCGUGAGGGAAAGGCGAAAAGAACCCCGGCGAGGGGAGUGAAAAAGAACCUGAAACCGUGUACGUACAAGCAGUGGGAGCACGCUUCGGCGUGUGACUGCGUACCUUUUGUAUAAUGGGUCAGCGACUUAUAUUCUGUAGCAAGGUUAACCGAAUAGGGGAGCCGAAGGGAAACCGAGUCUUAACUGGGCGUUAAGUUGCAGGGUAUAGACCCGAAACCCGGUGAUCUAGCCAUGGGCAGGUUGAAGGUUGGGUAACACUAACUGGAGGACCGAACCGACUAAUGUUGAAAAAUUAGCGGAUGACUUGUGGCUGGGGGUGAAAGGCCAAUCAAACCGGGAGAUAGCUGGUUCUCCCCGAAAGCUAUUUAGGUAGCGCCUCGUGAAUUCAUCUCCGGGGGUAGAGCACUGUUUCGGCAAGGGGGUCAUCCCGACUUACCAACCCGAUGCAAACUGCGAAUACCGGAGAAUGUUAUCACGGGAGACACACGGCGGGUGCUAACGUCCGUCGUGAAGAGGGAAACAACCCAGACCGCCAGCUAAGGUCCCAAAGUCAUGGUUAAGUGGGAAACGAUGUGGGAAGGCCCAGACAGCCAGGAUGUUGGCUUAGAAGCAGCCAUCAUUUAAAGAAAGCGUAAUAGCUCACUGGUCGAGUCGGCCUGCGCGGAAGAUGUAACGGGGCUAAACCAUGCAC
Molecule: ribosomal RNA, 775 nt
Filed under: Escherichia coli
Lineage: Bacteria; Pseudomonadati; Pseudomonadota; Gammaproteobacteria; Enterobacterales; Enterobacteriaceae
Description: bacterial LSU rRNA
Rfam family: Bacterial large subunit ribosomal RNA
Source: RNAcentral